RNAcentral lists this ribosomal RNA (253 nucleotides) under uncultured bacterium. Its description in RNAcentral is "partial 16S ribosomal RNA". It matches the Rfam family "Bacterial small subunit ribosomal RNA", at positions 524 to 776 of the family's 1533-position model. The record is from RNAcentral.
UACGUAGGGUGCGAGCGUUAAUCGGAAUUACUGGGCGUAAAGGGUGCGCAGGCGGCUUGGAAAGAACGGUGUGAAAUCCCGGGGCUCAACCUCGGAACUGCACUAUUAACUGCCAAGCUAGAGUAUGUCAGAGGGGGGUGGAAUUCCGCGUGUAGCAGUGAAAUGCGUAGAUAUGCGGAGGAACACCGAUGGCGAAGGCAGCCCCCUGGGAUGGUACUGACGCUCAGGCACGAAAGCGUGGGUAGCGAACAGG